CCAGUAUUAGAGGCACUGCUGCCCAGUGACAUAUGUUCAACGGCCGCGGUAUCCUGACCGUGCAAAGGUAGCAUAAUCAUUUGUUCUCUAAUUAAGGACUUGAAUGAAAGGCCACACGAGGGUUAAACUGUCUCCUGCUCUCAAUCAGUGAAAUUGACCUUCCCGUGAAGAGGCGGGAAUAUAAUAACAAGACGAGAAGACCCUAUGGAGCUUAAAUUCAUUAACCCAAAUAAUCUUAUAUAAUUACCUACAUAGGCAUAAUUAUUAUCAAUUAUGGGUUAUAGAUUUCGGUUGGGGUGACCUCGGAGUAUAAUUCAACCUCCGAAUAAUUUUAGCCUAGACUUUACCAGUCAAAUCAACUCAUAUAGUUAAUUGACCCAAACUAGUUUGAUCAAUGGAACAAGUUACCCUAGGGAUAACAGCGCAAUCCUAUUAUAGAGUCCAUAUCGACAAUAGGGUUUACGACCUCGAUGUUGGAUCAGGACAUCCCAAUGGUGUAACCGCUAUUAAAGGUCCGUUUGUUC
Molecule: ribosomal RNA, 524 nt
Filed under: Hapalemur griseus (bamboo lemur)
Lineage: Eukaryota; Metazoa; Chordata; Mammalia; Primates; Lemuridae
Description: partial 16S ribosomal RNA
Rfam family: Bacterial large subunit ribosomal RNA
Source: RNAcentral